RNAcentral lists this ribosomal RNA (2902 nucleotides) under Escherichia coli NCCP 15656. Its description in RNAcentral is "bacterial LSU rRNA". It matches the Rfam family "Bacterial large subunit ribosomal RNA". The record is from RNAcentral. Lineage: Bacteria; Pseudomonadati; Pseudomonadota; Gammaproteobacteria; Enterobacterales; Enterobacteriaceae.
UUAAGCGACUAAGCGUACACGGUGGAUGCCCUGGCAGUCAGAGGCGAUGAAGGACGUGCUAAUCUGCGAUAAGCGUCGGUAAGGUGAUAUGAACCGUUAUAACCGGCGAUUUCCGAAUGGGGAAACCCAGUGUGUUUCGACACACUAUCAUUAACUGAAUCCAUAGGUUAAUGAGGCGAACCGGGGGAACUGAAACAUCUAAGUACCCCGAGGAAAAGAAAUCAACCGAGAUUCCCCCAGUAGCGGCGAGCGAACGGGGAGCAGCCCAGAGCCUGAAUCAGUGUGUGUGUUAGUGGAAGCGUCUGGAAAGGCGCGCGAUACAGGGUGACAGCCCCGUACACAAAAAUGCACAUGCUGUGAGCUCGAUGAGUAGGGCGGGACACGUGGUAUCCUGUCUGAAUAUGGGGGGACCAUCCUCCAAGGCUAAAUACUCCUGACUGACCGAUAGUGAACCAGUACCGUGAGGGAAAGGCGAAAAGAACCCCGGCGAGGGGAGUGAAAAAGAACCUGAAACCGUGUACGUACAAGCAGUGGGAGCACGCUUAGGCGUGUGACUGCGUACCUUUUGUAUAAUGGGUCAGCGACUUAUAUUCUGUAGCAAGGUUAACCGAAUAGGGGAGCCGAAGGGAAACCGAGUCUUAACUGGGCGUUAAGUUGCAGGGUAUAGACCCGAAACCCGGUGAUCUAGCCAUGGGCAGGUUGAAGGUUGGGUAACACUAACUGGAGGACCGAACCGACUAAUGUUGAAAAAUUAGCGGAUGACUUGUGGCUGGGGGUGAAAGGCCAAUCAAACCGGGAGAUAGCUGGUUCUCCCCGAAAGCUAUUUAGGUAGCGCCUCGUGAAUUCAUCUCCGGGGGUAGAGCACUGUUUCGGCAAGGGGGUCAUCCCGACUUACCAACCCGAUGCAAACUGCGAAUACCGGAGAAUGUUAUCACGGGAGACACACGGCGGGUGCUAACGUCCGUCGUGAAGAGGGAAACAACCCAGACCGCCAGCUAAGGUCCCAAAGUCAUGGUUAAGUGGGAAACGAUGUGGGAAGGCCCAGACAGCCAGGAUGUUGGCUUAGAAGCAGCCAUCAUUUAAAGAAAGCGUAAUAGCUCACUGGUCGAGUCGGCCUGCGCGGAAGAUGUAACGGGGCUAAACCAUGCACCGAAGCUGCGGCAGCGACGCUUAUGCGUUGUUGGGUAGGGGAGCGUUCUGUAAGCCUGUGAAGGUGUACUGUGAGGUAUGCUGGAGGUAUCAGAAGUGCGAAUGCUGACAUAAGUAACGAUAAAGCGGGUGAAAAGCCCGCUCGCCGGAAGACCAAGGGUUCCUGUCCAACGUUAAUCGGGGCAGGGUGAGUCGACCCCUAAGGCGAGGCCGAAAGGCGUAGUCGAUGGGAAACAGGUUAAUAUUCCUGUACUUGGUGUUACUGCGAAGGGGGGACGGAGAAGGCUAUGUUGGCCGGGCGACGGUUGUCCCGGUUUAAGCGUGUAGGCUGGUUUUCCAGGCAAAUCCGGAAAAUCAAGGCUGAGGCGUGAUGACGAGGCACUACGGUGCUGAAGCAACAAAUGCCCUGCUUCCAGGAAAAGCCUCUAAGCAUCAGGUAACAUCAAAUCGUACCCCAAACCGACACAGGUGGUCAGGUAGAGAAUACCAAGGCGCUUGAGAGAACUCGGGUGAAGGAACUAGGCAAAAUGGUGCCGUAACUUCGGGAGAAGGCACGCUGAUAUGUAGGUGAAGUCCCUCGCGGAUGGAGCUGAAAUCAGUCGAAGAUACCAGCUGGCUGCAACUGUUUAUUAAAAACACAGCACUGUGCAAACACGAAAGUGGACGUAUACGGUGUGACGCCUGCCCGGUGCCGGAAGGUUAAUUGAUGGGGUCAGCGCAAGCGAAGCUCUUGAUCGAAGCCCCGGUAAACGGCGGCCGUAACUAUAACGGUCCUAAGGUAGCGAAAUUCCUUGUCGGGUAAGUUCCGACCUGCACGAAUGGCGUAAUGAUGGCCAGGCUGUCUCCACCCGAGACUCAGUGAAAUUGAACUCGCUGUGAAGAUGCAGUGUACCCGCGGCAAGACGGAAAGACCCCGUGAACCUUUACUAUAGCUUGACACUGAACAUUGAGCCUUGAUGUGUAGGAUAGGUGGGAGGCUUUGAAGUGUGGACGCCAGUCUGCAUGGAGCCGACCUUGAAAUACCACCCUUUAAUGUUUGAUGUUCUAACGUUGACCCGUGAUCCGGGUUGCGGACAGUGUCUGGUGGGUAGUUUGACUGGGGCGGUCUCCUCCUAAAGAGUAACGGAGGAGCACGAAGGUUGGCUAAUCCUGGUCGGACAUCAGGAGGUUAGUGCAAUGGCAUAAGCCAGCUUGACUGCGAGCGUGACGGCGCGAGCAGGUGCGAAAGCAGGUCAUAGUGAUCCGGUGGUUCUGAAUGGAAGGGCCAUCGCUCAACGGAUAAAAGGUACUCCGGGGAUAACAGGCUGAUACCGCCCAAGAGUUCAUAUCGACGGCGGUGUUUGGCACCUCGAUGUCGGCUCAUCACAUCCUGGGGCUGAAGUAGGUCCCAAGGGUAUGGCUGUUCGCCAUUUAAAGUGGUACGCGAGCUGGGUUUAGAACGUCGUGAGACAGUUCGGUCCCUAUCUGCCGUGGGCGCUGGAGAACUGAGGGGGGCUGCUCCUAGUACGAGAGGACCGGAGUGGACGCAUCACUGGUGUUCGGGUUGUCAUGCCAAUGGCACUGCCCGGUAGCUAAAUGCGGAAGAGAUAAGUGCUGAAAGCAUCUAAGCACGAAACUUGCCCCGAGAUGAGUUCUCCCUGACCCUUUAAGGGUCCUGAAGGAACGUUGAAGACGACGACGUUGAUAGGCCGGGUGUGUAAGCGCAGCGAUGCGUUGAGCUAACCGGUACUAAUGAACCGUGAGGCUUAACCUU